RNAcentral lists this ribosomal RNA (253 nucleotides) under uncultured bacterium. Its description in RNAcentral is "partial 16S ribosomal RNA". It matches the Rfam family "Bacterial small subunit ribosomal RNA", at positions 524 to 776 of the family's 1533-position model. The record is from RNAcentral.
UACGGAGGGUGCAAGCGUUAAUCGGAAUUACUGGGCGUAAAGCGUGCGCAGGCGGUUUGUUAAGUCCGCUGUGAAAUCCCCGAGCUCAACUUGGGAAUUGCAGUGGAUACUGGCAAGCUGGAGUAUGGUAGAGGAAGGUGGAAUUCCCGGUGUAGCAGUGAAAUGCGUAGAGAUCGGGAGGAACACCAGUGGAGAAGGCGGCCUUCUGGACCAAUACUGACGCUCAUGCACGAAAGCGUGGGGAGCAAACAGG